RNAcentral lists this long non-coding RNA (1036 nucleotides) under Anas platyrhynchos platyrhynchos (common mallard). Its description in RNAcentral is "lncRNA (ENSAPLG00000024049.1)". The record is from RNAcentral. Lineage: Eukaryota; Metazoa; Chordata; Aves; Anseriformes; Anatidae.
UUUUUUUUUUUUUUUUUUUUAAUUAUUCUUAUUAUAACAUAUAUGAUGAUCACUUCUGCAGCAUGUCUAAGUUAAGGCUCCAUACAGAGAGCAAAAAUGUGACCCCUUUAUAAAGAGAUUCAUACAAUUACAUGCCAAGACAGCAGAGGGUAGUGGAUCAAAAAAUAUAUAAGUGCAACAAACAGGGACAUAAAUUUUUAGAUCAAAUCAGCAUGAUAGCAAAUGGCAACAUAUAGAAACAGGUCAAGCACUGUGAAGAAUUUUGCAAAUGAAGUGUGGCUAGUUAAAGAACAUUAAUAGCUUUAAUUAGGUCAACCUAGAUAAUUUGGAAAAAGGGGAAAACCAGGGCGUACCACUUUUUCAUGGGCAGUGUGGGAUAGAACAAUUUUAAGACAUGGUUUGAAGGUGAGUAUUCUCUGUAGAUCCUGGAAAGUAUACUUGAUCUAACCCAUUCAUUACUAGUGUGUGUACAUCAUAUGGGUAUAAAAGGUACAGGAAGUAUUAAUCAACAUAACCUACUUCCAGUGAAACAGUUGUGACCCGCAGAAGUUGAAGACCUGGCCCAUAAUCCAUGGGUGAUAUGGUUCUCAAAACUACACUUACAGCCUUCCCUACUUACAGAGGAGCUGGCAAUCAGCCUCCUGUUCUGUGAAUUAGUCUCCAAAGACUCCUUGAGAAUCAUGCACAGUGGUCCUUAACUAAGAUUUUCCAUUGUGUCGGAGCUGAAUUUGAAACCUUUAGCAUUGUUUACAUGGUGCCGCUGCUGUUAUUUUCUCUUGGAAUUGCAAAUUUCCUAGUUAUGGGAAUCGUCAAAUGAAAACCAUUUCUCUUGUGGGCAAACCUUAACACGCCAACAGAGUGGAAGAAAAUGUCGCUGCUGGCACAUUGGAGAAAUGCCAAGUCAUCCAAACAAAAGGAGACAAUGUCCUUUACGAAAUCAAAAGAAAUCCACUGUAAAAGAAAUCCCUCAUAAAAUAUGAAGGGGAAGAAACUUUAAUAAAAGACAUAUCCACGAUAAAACCUUGAAAAUGCUUUA